This 458-nucleotide ribosomal RNA is filed under the name uncultured bacterium. RNAcentral describes it as "partial 16S ribosomal RNA". It matches the Rfam family "Bacterial small subunit ribosomal RNA", at positions 338 to 795 of the family's 1533-position model. The record is from RNAcentral.
CCUACGGGCGGCAGCAGUGAGGAAUAUUGGUCAAUGGGCGAGAGCCUGAACCAGCCAAGUCGCGUGAGGGAGUACUGCCCUAUGGGUUGUAAACCUCUUUUGUCGGGGAGCAAAAGCCGGACGUGUCCGGCUGUGAGAGUACCCGAAGAAAAAGCAUCGGCUAAAUCCGUGCCAGCAGCCGCGGUAAUACGGAGGAUGCGAGCGUUAUCCGGAUUUAUUGGGUUUAAAGGGUGCGCAGGCGGAUUUUUAAGUCAGCGGUAAAAUCGUGGGGCUCAACCCCAUCCAGCCGUUGAAACUGGGGAUCUAGAGUGUGCGAGAGGUAUGCGGAAUGCGUGGUGUAGCGGUGAAAUGCAUAGAUAUCACGCAGAACCCCGAUUGCGAAGGCAGCAUACCGGUGCACAACUGACGCUCAGGCACGAAAGCGUGGGUAUCGAACAGGAUUAGAUACCCUUGUAGUC